Molecule: non-coding RNA, 95 nt
Organism: Mycena leptocephala
Lineage: Eukaryota; Fungi; Basidiomycota; Agaricomycetes; Agaricales; Mycenaceae
Source: the annotation of a GenBank genome assembly
UCGGACGUGGUGCACGGUGCACGCCCGCUUGUCAUAAAGGAAGUGUGUUUUUAAUAAUUAAGCAGGAGACCUGGGUCCGACCCCCAGCAUCCGAA